UCUUCUGUGGCGCAAUUGGCUAGCGCGUUCGACUGUUACUCAACUGUCAUCGAGAGGUUGGAGGUUCGAGCCCUCCCAGAAGAG
This is a transfer RNA of 84 nucleotides. It matches the Rfam family "tRNA". Rfam says of the family: Transfer RNA (tRNA) molecules are approximately 80 nucleotides in length. Their secondary structure includes four short double-helical elements and three loops (D, anti-codon, and T loops). The record is from Rfam.